UUGCACGCUGGCGGCAGGCCUAACACAUGCAAGUCGAGCGGAUGAAGGGAGCUUGCUCCUGGAUUCAGCGGCGGACGGGUGAGUAAUGCCUAGGAAUCUGCCUGGUAGUGGGGGAUAACGUCCGGAAACGGGCGCUAAUACCGCAUACGUCCUGAGGGAGAAAGUGGGGGAUCUUCGGACCUCACGCUAUCAGAUGAGCCUAGGUCGGAUUAGCUAGUUGGUGGGGUAAAGGCCUACCAAGGCGACGAUCCGUAACUGGUCUGAGAGGAUGAUCAGUCACACUGGAACUGAGGCACGGUCCAGACUCCUACGGGAGGCAGCAGUGGGGAAUAUUGGACAAUGGGCGAAAGCCUGAUCCAGCCAUGCCGCGUGUGUGGAGAAGGUCUUCGGAUUGUAAAGCACUUUAAGUUGGGAGGAAGGGCAGUAAGUUAAUACCUUGCUGUUUUGACGUUACCAACAGAAUAAGCACCGGCUAACUUCGUG
Molecule: ribosomal RNA, 483 nt
Filed under: uncultured bacterium
Lineage: Bacteria
Description: partial 16S ribosomal RNA
Rfam family: Bacterial small subunit ribosomal RNA
Source: RNAcentral